AGAUUGAACGCUGGCGGAAUGCUUUACACAUGCAAGUCGAACGGCAGCACGGGGGCAACCCUGGUGGCGAGUGGCGAACGGGUGAGUAAUACAUCGGAACGUGCCCAGUCGUGGGGGAUAACUACGCGAAAGCGUAGCUAAUACCGCAUACGAUCUACGGAUGAAAGCGGGGGAUCGCAAGACCUCGCGCGAUUGGAGCGGCGAUGGCAGAUUAGGUAGUUGGUGGGGUAAAGCUCACAAGCCGUCGAUCUGUAGCUGGUCUGAGAGGACGACCAGCCAC
Molecule: ribosomal RNA, 280 nt
Filed under: uncultured soil bacterium
Lineage: Bacteria
Description: partial 16S ribosomal RNA
Rfam family: Bacterial small subunit ribosomal RNA
Source: RNAcentral